GUCAACGUGGUGUAGUGGAUUGCACGUUUGACUGAGACUCGAGAGACCAGGGUUCAAAUCCCCACUAAGCCA
Phrynosoma platyrhinos (Desert horned lizard) is the source of this 72-nucleotide non-coding RNA. Lineage: Eukaryota; Metazoa; Chordata; Lepidosauria; Squamata; Phrynosomatidae. The record is from the annotation of a GenBank genome assembly.